RNAcentral lists this long non-coding RNA (314 nucleotides) under Parus major (Great Tit). Its description in RNAcentral is "lncRNA (ENSPMJG00000003815.1)". Lineage: Eukaryota; Metazoa; Chordata; Aves; Passeriformes; Paridae. The record is from RNAcentral.
GAAGACUGUUUGUUUUUAUUUAACUACAUCAUUUUCAUUGUGCUGCAGGGUAUAUUUUGAAAAUUAUGUCUCUUCCAGUUACUCUCUUGAGUCUGACUGAUGUUAGAGCACUGACCUGAGAUGGAAAGUCAAAUACUAAAAAGCAAGAUAACAUUUGGUUCAUCACUGCAAGACUCAAAAAAGGCUGGCCUCUAAGACAGGGAACAGAGAGAGACUUUCUGUGCCCUUCAAUUCUGCAAUGGCAAAGAAGCUUUUCAUAGCGGAGCACAUGUAAGUAAUAUGCUAAAGAAUGAAUGAGUAGCUAAAAUAUUUUG